RNAcentral lists this ribosomal RNA (253 nucleotides) under uncultured bacterium. Its description in RNAcentral is "partial 16S ribosomal RNA". It matches the Rfam family "Bacterial small subunit ribosomal RNA", at positions 524 to 776 of the family's 1533-position model. The record is from RNAcentral.
UACGGGGGGAGCAAGCGUUGUUCGGAUUUACUGGGCGUAAAGGGCGCGUAGGCGGCGUGACAAGUCACUUGUGAAAUCUCCGGGCUUAACUCGGAACGGUCAGGUGAUACUGUCGUGCUAGAGUACAGAAGGGGCAACUGGAAUUCUCGGUGUAGCGGUGAAAUGCGUAGAUAUCGAGAGGAACACCUGCGGCGAAGGCGGGUUGCUGGGCUGAUACUGACGCUGAGGCGCGAAAGCCAGGGGAGCGAACGGG